This 766-nucleotide non-coding RNA is filed under the name Teinopalpus aureus (golden kaiserihind). Lineage: Eukaryota; Metazoa; Arthropoda; Insecta; Lepidoptera; Papilionidae. The record is from RNAcentral.
AUUUAAAAAAUUUAAUUUAAAUUUAUUUUACAUAUAAAUUUUAGUGUUAAUUUUUAAUUAUUUUAAUAAUUUUUUAAAAAUGAUUGGUAGUAAUUAAAAUUAUAAAUUUAAGAAAUUAAGAUUUAGUAAUAUUUAUAUUUAUUAACAAAUUUUGUGCCAGCAGUUGCGGUUAUACAAAUAAUAAUUUAAAUUUUAUUAGUGAAUAAUUAAUAUAAUAAGAUAAAAAUUAAAUAUUAAUUUAUUAGGUAAAAUUUUAAUUUAAUAAAAAUUUUAAUUAAUUAUAUGAUUUAUUAAAUUUUGAAAAAAACUAGGAUUAGAUACCCUAUUAUUAAAAAUUAAAUUAAUAAUACUAAAUUAGUAUAUAAUAAUUUAUAAAAACUUAAAUAAUUUGGCGGUAUUUUAGUUCAUUUAGAGGAAUCUGUUUAAUAAUUGAUAAUCCACGAAUAAAUUUACUUAAUUUAUGAAUUUUGUAUAUCGUUGUUAAAAAAAUAUUUUUUAAUAAAAAUAAUAUUUUAAAAUUAUAAAUAUAAUUUAGUUCAGAUCAAGAUGCAGAUUAUAAUUAAGAAUAUAAUGGAUUACAAUAUAUAAUAAAUAAAUGGAUAUUAUUGUUUAAUAAAUAUUUGAAAAUGGAUUUAAAUGUAAUUUUAUUUAAUUUAUUAAAAUGAUUAUAAAUUAAAAUAUGUACAUAUUGCCCGUCGCUUUCAUAUAUAAAUUGAAAUAAGUCGUAACAAAGUAGAAGUACUGGAAAGUGUUUCUAGAAAGAACA